GGGCAGUUAGCUCAGUGGUAGAGCGCCUCGUUGACAUCGAGGAGGUCACAAGUUCGAACCUUGUACCGCCCACCA
Molecule: transfer RNA, 75 nt
Filed under: Sphingomonadales bacterium
Lineage: Bacteria; Pseudomonadati; Pseudomonadota; Alphaproteobacteria; Sphingomonadales
Also listed under: 2 other names
Description: tRNA-Val
Rfam family: tRNA
About the family: Transfer RNA (tRNA) molecules are approximately 80 nucleotides in length. Their secondary structure includes four short double-helical elements and three loops (D, anti-codon, and T loops). Further hydrogen bonds mediate the characteristic L-shaped molecular structure. tRNAs have two regions of fundamental functional importance: the anti-codon, which is responsible for specific mRNA codon recognition, and the 3' end, to which the tRNAs corresponding amino acid is attached (by aminoacyl-tRNA synthetases). tRNAs cope with the degeneracy of the genetic code in two manners: having more than one tRNA (with a specific anti-codon) for a particular amino acid; and 'wobble' base-pairing, i.e. permitting non-standard base-pairing at the 3rd anti-codon position.
Source: RNAcentral